GGGCCUGUACCGGUUUCGACGGGGAUUUUGAAGUAUGAUAAGCGCGGCAAGCCGGGUAAUCUUGUCAACUGCCCAACCUUAAAAUUAAACGACGAAGACAAAAAAGAACUCGCCAUGGCUGCCUAACGGCAGUGCCGCGGCUUUUCAGCCGCCCGUCCGCCCCUUGAGUAUCACGGCAAGGGCUCGGGCGUAACGCAGUGAUGAACGUGAGCGGAGAUUUCGCACUUGUAUCCGCCAUGAAUAAAAGGGCUACCCGACGGCUCUGCUGUUUGUCUCAGCGCAGGAGGGGAAUUUAAGAGAUAAACUGUCCGCGGAGAAGGUCAUAGGGAGAGAUUUUCGGACACGGGUUCGACUCCCGCCAGGUCCACCA
This 370-nucleotide transfer-messenger RNA is filed under the name Clostridia bacterium. It matches the Rfam family "transfer-messenger RNA". From Rfam's summary of the family: Bacterial tmRNA, also known as 10Sa RNA or SsrA, is named for its dual tRNA and mRNA-like properties. Lineage: Bacteria; Bacillati; Bacillota; Clostridia. The record is from RNAcentral.